RNAcentral lists this long non-coding RNA (1034 nucleotides) under Gossypium barbadense (sea-island cotton). Its description in RNAcentral is "long non-coding RNA (GBAR_LNC020411)". Lineage: Eukaryota; Viridiplantae; Streptophyta; Magnoliopsida; Malvales; Malvaceae. The record is from RNAcentral.
UAAAUCUUUAUAAAGAAUAAUGAAAAAAAUACAAUUAACAAAAAAUUAACUAAAUAAUUACAUCAUAUUAACAAAUAAUCAACAAAAAUGAACAUAAAAGAGAUUUGCUAUAUAUCCCCUGUACUGCACCAUCUGUAAAAGAAAAAAACUUCAGACAGAUUUGAUCAUUACAGUAUAUUAGAUGUUGGAUUAUAACAAAAACCCUAAUAACAUUAUCAAAUAUUAAACAUUUUUUCCUCAGUUUGUUGACAUUAAAAGAUAAAAUAAACUAGAAACAAGAAGUAGAACAAAUUCACCUGCAUUUUUAAAGCUUCUUUUCUUGUUAGCUCUUGCUUGCUAUGAAAUAGAGAACUUAGCCAUUUAUUGCCACUGCAGCAUCAUCAAGAUUCUCAAAAACAUAUUCAUAAAGCGCUGAUUGAUCAAUUCAAUUCAAAAAAAACCUUAAAAUGCUUUUUGUGAAUCUUGAUGAUGCUCCAACAGAAAACAAUGGCUGUUGUACCAUUAUCAACAUCAGCAUCAGCAUCACCAUCAUCAUCAUCAUAUCAUCCCAUGCAGAAGAAGAAUAAAGAGAAGCCUGAACCCCAUUGCAUCAAAUAGAAAGAACUUCAAAAGGAAGUGAAAGAACAUGAAGCAAAGUUUGAUAAGAACAAAAACCCAAAGCUAAAAUAGAGGGAAAAGAAUGGAACUUUGAAGACCAUUGAUGGAUAUUGAAGGGAGGGUUGAAGGGGGUAUAUAUAGAGAGUGGAAGAGGAGCAAUGAAUAGGGUUCGGGGUUUGGGGUUUGGUGGGUGGCUUUGUGUGAGAGAGAGCGCUAAACAUCGUAAUCCUUAGGUACCAAAUACACCAUAAUCCUUAGCCAAUCCGAAAAUUGAGAAAUUUAAAAUAAAAAAUUUAAGAGGGUUAAGGGUGACAUCCAUAAUUAUUAUGAUGUACUGACGCUUCUCUCUUGAGUAUUGUAAGUUAUAUCUCACAUUGGUUAUAAGUAAUUUUAAGUUUUGUGAAUCAAGCCUAGCCUCUUAAGACACACUGGUUUUU